CGUAACAAGGUCUCCGUUGGUGAACCAGCGGAGGGAUCAUUACAGAGUUGCAAAACUCCCACAAACCAUCGCGAAUCUUACCCGUACGGUUGCCUCGGCGCUGGCGGUCCGGAAGGCCCUCGGGCCCCCGGACCCUCGGGUCUCCCGCUCGCGGGAGGCUGCCCGCCGGAGUGCCGAAACCAAACUCUUGAUAUUUUUUGUCUCUCUGAGUAAACUUUUAAAUAAGUCAAAACUUUCAACAACGGAUCUCUUGGUUCUGGCAUCGAUGAAGAACGCAGCGAAAUGCGAUAAGUAAUGUGAAUUGCAGAAUUCAGUGAAUCAUCGAAUCUUUGAACGCACAUUGCGCUCGCCAGUAUUCUGGCGAGCAUGCCUGUUCGAGCGUCAUUUCAACCAUCAAGCUCUGCUUGCGUUGGGGAUCCGCGGCUGCCCGCGGUCCCUCAAAAACAGUGGCGGGCUCGCUAGUCACACCGAGCGUAGUAACUCUACAUCGCUAUGGUCGUGCGGCGGGUUCUUGCCGUAAAACCCCCAAUUUCUAAGGUUGACCUCGGAUCAGGUAGGAAUACCC
RNAcentral lists this ribosomal RNA (565 nucleotides) under Asordaria conoidea. RNAcentral describes it as "eukaryotic LSU rRNA". The stretch from base 231 to 384 matches the Rfam family "5.8S ribosomal RNA". Lineage: Eukaryota; Fungi; Ascomycota; Sordariomycetes; Sordariales; Sordariaceae. The record is from RNAcentral.